This 382-nucleotide long non-coding RNA is filed under the name Nicotiana benthamiana. RNAcentral's name for it is "long non-coding RNA (NBEN_LNC038784)". Lineage: Eukaryota; Viridiplantae; Streptophyta; Magnoliopsida; Solanales; Solanaceae. The record is from RNAcentral.
AAGAAUUUUUAUCUCUGUCUCACAUCUUGGACCUGUAAGAUGGCAGGUCAUUGUAUGAAAAAUGAAAAAGAAAUUGAACUUUGGAUCCUUUAUAAAUCAACCUUUCACUUUCCUUUUCCUUUUUCACUGAAGGGUUUUGAACAAAAACCACAACAGUCCCUUAGAUUCUUUUACCUCUCUGAUUCCCGCAGCUUUAGUAUUUGUCAAUCAGUCAUUACAGGCUGGAACCGUAGAACAAUGUGCAUAUUUCAAGUAUUCUUUUACCUGUCUGAUUCCCGCAGCUUUAGUAUUGUCAAUCAGUCACUGCAGGUUGGAACCGUAGAACAAUGUGCAUAUUUCAAGCUCAAAUUCUCCACUUUUUGCCCUGAAUAUGGUUAUCUUU